Molecule: unclassified non-coding RNA, 345 nt
Filed under: soil metagenome
Description: partial contains 5.8S ribosomal RNA, internal transcribed spacer 2, and large subunit ribosomal RNA
Rfam family: 5.8S ribosomal RNA (bases 1-120)
Source: RNAcentral
GAUGAAGAACGCAGUGAAAUGCGAUACGUAAUGUGAAUUGCAGAAUUCAGUGAAUCAUCGAGUCUUUGAUCGCACAUUGCGCCCCCUGGUAUUCCGGGGGGCAUGCCUGUCCGAGCGUCAUUGCUGCCCUCAAGCACGGCUUGUGUGUUGGGCCUCCGUCCUCCUCCCGGGGGACGGGCCCGAAAGGCAGCGGCGGCACCGCGUCCGGUCCUCGAGCGUAUGGGGCUUCGUCACCCGCUCUUGUAGGCCCGGCCGGCGCUUGCCGACACAUCAAUCUUUUUUCCAGGUUGACCUCGGAUCAGGUAGGGAUACCCGCUGAACUUAAGCAUAUCAAUAAGCGGAGGA